UAAGGAAUAUUGGUCAAUGGACGCAAGUCUGAACCAGCCAUGCCGCGUGGAGGAUGAAGGUCCUCUGGAUUGUAAACUUCUUUUAUCUGGGACGAAACACUUCUUUUCUAAGAGGCCUGACGGUACCAGAUGAAUAAGCACCGGCUAACUCCGUGCCAGCAGCCGCGGUAAUACGGAGGGUGCGAGCGUUAUCCGGACUUACUGGGUUUAAAGGGUGCGUAGGUGGGCUUAUAAGUCAGUGGUGAAAUCUCCGAGCUUAACUUGGAAACUGCCGUUGAUACUAUAGGUCUUGAAUUAUCUGGAGGUAAGCGGAAUAUGUCAUGUAGCGGUGAAAUGCUUAGAUAUGACAUAGAACACCAAUUGCGAAGGCAGCUUACUACAUAUAAAUUGACGCUGAGGCACGAAAGCGUGGGGAUCAAACA
RNAcentral lists this ribosomal RNA (422 nucleotides) under uncultured bacterium. RNAcentral's name for it is "bacterial SSU rRNA". It matches the Rfam family "Bacterial small subunit ribosomal RNA", at positions 355 to 774 of the family's 1533-position model. The record is from RNAcentral.